RNAcentral lists this ribosomal RNA (790 nucleotides) under Bacillus sp. FJAT-17846. Its description in RNAcentral is "bacterial SSU rRNA". It matches the Rfam family "Bacterial small subunit ribosomal RNA", at positions 64 to 836 of the family's 1533-position model. The record is from RNAcentral. Lineage: Bacteria; Bacillati; Bacillota; Bacilli; Caryophanales; Bacillaceae.
GAGCGGACAGAUGGGAGCUUGCUCCCUGAUGUUAGCGGCGGACGGGUGAGUAACACGUGGGUAACCUGCCUGUAAGACUGGGAUAACUCCGGGAAACCGGGGCUAAUACCGGAUGCUUGUUUGAACCGCAUGGUUCAAACAUAAAAGGUGGCUUCGGCUACCACUUACAGAUGGACCCGCGGCGCAUUAGCUAGUUGGUGAGGUAAUGGCUCACCAAGGCAACGAUGCGUAGCCGACCUGAGAGGGUGAUCGGCCACACUGGGACUGAGACACGGCCCAGACUCCUACGGGAGGCAGCAGUAGGGAAUCUUCCGCAAUGGACGAAAGUCUGACGGAGCAACGCCGCGUGAGUGAUGAAGGUUUUCGGAUCGUAAAGCUCUGUUGUUAGGGAAGAACAAGUACCGUUCGAAUAGGGCGGUACCUUGACGGUACCUAACCAGAAAGCCACGGCUAACUACGUGCCAGCAGCCGCGGUAAUACGUAGGUGGCAAGCGUUGUCCGGAAUUAUUGGGCGUAAAGGGCUCGCAGGCGGUUCCUUAAGUCUGAUGUGAAAGCCCCCGGCUCAACCGGGGAGGGUCAUUGGAAACUGGGGAACUUGAGUGCAGAAGAGGAGAGUGGAAUUCCACGUGUAGCGGUGAAAUGCGUAGAGAUGUGGAGGAACACCAGUGGCGAAGGCGACUCUCUGGUCUGUAACUGACGCUGAGGAGCGAAAGCGUGGGGAGCGAACAGGAUUAGAUACCCUGGUAGUCCACGCCGUAAACGAUGAGUGCUAAGUGUUAGGGGUUUCCGC